Molecule: long non-coding RNA, 1292 nt
Organism: Bombyx mori (domestic silkworm)
Lineage: Eukaryota; Metazoa; Arthropoda; Insecta; Lepidoptera; Bombycidae
Exons: 2
Source: RefSeq, a predicted model, not a curated record
UAGCCACGCCACCGCCCCCCUUCUCGGUUCGGUCAUUUCUGAUCAGUACGAAUCCAGGGAGUGAAAAAAAUGAAGAAGGAAGAGAGGGUUUUAAAAAAGAUUCAGUAAUAAGUAUGACGUCAAGCGGAGAGUUGCUAAAUGAGGACAGAAGGUCAGUAUAAUGACUAGGAACACUUUGAGCAUUAAUGUGGGCUAUAUUAAGAUUAUUGGAAUAAGUAGAAAAACAUUGGGCGAUCCGAUCAUGUAGGGUCAGAACUGUGGAAGAGCUACUAUUCACACUGACAAAACUAUCAGAUGAAGAGGUACACGAAAAGAAACUAUCAUUGAGAUCAAGUAAAUCAUCAGUUUCAUACAUUGAUAUGUUAAUAGAUUUCAGACGUGCACAAUUAAGACGUGUAUGUGUAUAUGCAGAAGAACCAAAGUGGAACUUAAAUAAAAAAAUUAAAAAAACCAAAUUAAUCAAUUACCCAGUGGAUUACCUUACCAACUCGCUGGUUUAGUGACAGAGAUUGAACAGAGAAAAAUUAAAGACAACUUAAAUUAUAUGCUUGCUAGACACAAAAGAAAUUAGCAUUUAAAAAAAAAAAAAAAAAAAAACCUUAAAUUAUAAAGUACAUAGUAAAAGGACAUGUUUUACAUAAAAAAAAAAAAAAGUUUUAUGACCACACAGCACCACACAGAUUUUUUGGCAAAGAACACGAAUAAAACGCAAAUCACAAAGUAUGUUUUGUCAACUAACAGCAAGAACAAAACGCAAAAGACAGUUUAGUUGAAAGCAAAAUGUCAAUGUCAAGUCGAUGUCAAAUAAUGUAAACAUAUUAUUCAGAAAACAAUUUCUCUCGAUAUUAACUAGUAUUUGAUCCGUGAUACAUAAACCAACCAAACAGUAACUAUACAAUUACAAUAUGAAUAUAAGCAUAUAAAGAAAAAUUAGAAUACAUGAAACAUAUUAUUAUCACCGACUACCGACAAUUUAAAACACAUGCAUGAAUACCAUGUAGAAGUAGAACUUUUCUUCUCAUCAUGGUCUCAUGCCUAUCCAACCCAAGGCUGAGAAGCUCAAUCUGGGUCUUCAUCUGAGAAAGUGUUUGCCACACAAAAGCUUUAAAAUCAUUAAACUCACGCGAUAAAGUUGAAAUAUCGACAUGUGCUGGAACAGCUCCGGUAGAUGCCUUCUGCAGCUUCAGGUCAUAGUCGUUCAUACGUGUUUGGAAAAGCUUCUCGAGGCUUUCUAGACUAUUUAUAAGUUUCAGAUCCAUGAUGUGUGCAAGUAAAGUUUACGGCCAAAACAA